UUUACUCAAAUUUGUGUGGAGUUGGAACUUCUGCCUACGUUUGACGCUAGGGGCGUUGUUCCACUUGCAUACAAAUUUUAGUUA
Non-coding RNA from Bombyx mori (domestic silkworm), 84 nucleotides. Lineage: Eukaryota; Metazoa; Arthropoda; Insecta; Lepidoptera; Bombycidae. The record is from Rfam.